RNAcentral lists this ribosomal RNA (460 nucleotides) under uncultured bacterium. RNAcentral describes it as "partial 16S ribosomal RNA". It matches the Rfam family "Bacterial small subunit ribosomal RNA", at positions 338 to 795 of the family's 1533-position model. The record is from RNAcentral.
CCUACGGGAUGCAGCAGUGAGGAAUAUUGGUCAAUGGGCGUAAGCCUGAACCAGCCAAGUCGCGUGAGGGAUGAAGGUUCUAUGGAUCGUAAACCUCUUUUAUAAGGGAAUAAAGUGUGGGACGUGUCCUGUUUUGUAUGUACCUUAUGAAUAAGGAUCGGCUAACUCCGUGCCAGCAGCCGCGGUAAUACGGAGGAUCCGAGCGUUAUCCGGAUUUAUUGGGUUUAAAGGGUGCGUAGGCGGCCUUUUAAGUCAGCGGUGAAAGUCUGUGGCUCAACCAUAGAAUUGCCGUUGAAACUGGGAGGCUUGAGUAUGUUUGAGGCAGGCGGAAUGCGUGGUGUAGCGGUGAAAUGCUUAGAUAUCACGCAGAACCCCGAUUGCGAAGGCAGCCUGCCAGGCCAUUACUGACGCUGAUGCACGAAAGCGUGGGGAUCAAACAGGAUUAGAUACCCGGGUAGUC